GGAUGCGAUUAUAUAAGCACUAAUGCACCAGAUCUCAUCAGAACUCCGCAGUUAAGCGUAUUUGGACGAAAGUAGUAUUAAAGAUGGAUGACCUUCCAGACAGUUCUCUUGUUGCAUCUU
This is a non-coding RNA of Arabidopsis suecica, 120 nucleotides long. The record is from the annotation of a GenBank genome assembly. Lineage: Eukaryota; Viridiplantae; Streptophyta; Magnoliopsida; Brassicales; Brassicaceae.